ACGAACGCUGGCGGCGUGCUUAACACUUGCCAGUCGCACGGAAAGGCCCUGCUUUUGUGGGGUGCUCGAGUGGCGAACGGGUGAGUAACACGUGAGUAACCUGCCCUUGACUUUGGGAUAACUUCAGGAAACUGGGGCUAAUACCGGAUAGGAGCUCCUGCUGCAUGGUGGGGGUUGGAAAGUUUCGGCGGUUGGGGAUGGACUCGCGGCUUAUCAGCUUGUUGGUGGGGUAGUGGCUUACCAAGGCUUUGACGGGUAGCCGGCCUGAGAGGGUGACCGGCCACAUUGGGACUGAGAUACGGCCCAGACUCCUACGGGAGGCAGCAGUGGGGAAUAUUGCACAAUGGGCGGAAGCCUGAUGCAGCAACGCCGCGUGCGGGAUGACGGCCUUCGGGUUGUAAACCGCUUUCGCCUGUGACGAAGCGUGAGUGACGGUAAUGGGUAAAGAAGCACCGGCUAACUACGUG
RNAcentral lists this ribosomal RNA (467 nucleotides) under uncultured bacterium. RNAcentral's name for it is "partial 16S ribosomal RNA". It matches the Rfam family "Bacterial small subunit ribosomal RNA", at positions 29 to 507 of the family's 1533-position model. The record is from RNAcentral.